AUCAAAGCAUUGAGCAAGAAAGUAACGUCUAAAUUUGGGGCUAAGAGAUAAAGUUCAUUGGCUGAGAGAACUUUACCCACUUAAACGUGAAGGUAACUUGUGAGCUGUUAGACUGAAGUGAGUAGGUCUAGCCGGACAAGUAGUUCGUUAACGUGAUGAAGUGGCGCAAUAGCGCAAUUUAGGUGGUACCGCGAAUUUAAGCAUUCGUCCUAUUA
RNAcentral lists this non-coding RNA (215 nucleotides) under Loigolactobacillus backii. RNAcentral's name for it is "Lactobacillus backii T-box sequence". It matches the Rfam family "T-box leader". Rfam says of the family: Uncharged tRNA acts as the effector for transcription antitermination of genes in the T-box leader family. T-boxes are found upstream of many aminoacyl-tRNA synthetase genes and some amino acid biosynthetic genes usually in Gram-positive bacteria. The anticodon of a specific tRNA base pairs to a specifier sequence within the T-box motif, and the NCCA acceptor tail of the tRNA base pairs to a conserved bulge in the T-box antiterminator hairpin. The record is from RNAcentral. Lineage: Bacteria; Bacillati; Bacillota; Bacilli; Lactobacillales; Lactobacillaceae.